This 290-nucleotide signal recognition particle RNA is filed under the name Saimiri boliviensis boliviensis (Bolivian squirrel monkey). RNAcentral describes it as "Metazoan signal recognition particle RNA (ENSSBOG00000009407.1)". It matches the Rfam family "Metazoan signal recognition particle RNA". Rfam says of the family: The signal recognition particle (SRP) is a universally conserved ribonucleoprotein. Lineage: Eukaryota; Metazoa; Chordata; Mammalia; Primates; Cebidae. The record is from Rfam by way of RNAcentral.
GCCAGGCGCAGUGGUGCAUACCUGUAGUCCCAGCUACUUGGGAGGCUGAGGUGGGAGGAUUGCUUGAGCGGAGGAGUUCUGGGCUGUAGUGCGCUAUGCCGAUUGGGUGUCUGCACUAUGUUCGGCAUCCAUAUGGUGACCUCCCAGGAGCCGGGCACCACCAGGUUGCCUAAGGAGGGGUGAACUGGUCCAGGUCGGAAACGUAACAGAUCAAAACUCCCGUGCUGAUCGGUAGUGGGAUGACACCUGUGAGGUGUAGCAAGACCCUAUCCCCCCACAAAAAAAAUAGA